This 514-nucleotide ribosomal RNA is filed under the name uncultured bacterium. RNAcentral describes it as "partial 16S ribosomal RNA". It matches the Rfam family "Bacterial small subunit ribosomal RNA", at positions 28 to 523 of the family's 1533-position model. The record is from RNAcentral.
GAUGAACGCUGGCGGCGUGCCUAAUACAUGCAAGUCGAGCGAACUGAUUAGAAGCUUGCUUCUAUGACGUUAGCGGCGGACGGGUGAGUAACACGUGGGCAACCUGCCUGUAAGACUGGGAUAACUUCGGGAAACCGAAGCUAAUACCGGAUAGGAUCUUCUCCUUCAUGGGAGAUGAUUGAAAGAGGGUUUCGGCUAUCACUUACAGAUGGGCCCGCGGUGCAUUAGCUAGUUGGUGAGGUAACGGCUCACCAAGGCAACGAUGCAUAGCCGACCUGAGAGGGUGAUCGGCCACACUGGGACUGAGACGCGGCCCAGACUCCUACGGGAGGCAGCAGUAGGGAAUCUUCCGCAAUGGACGAAAGUCUGACGGAGCAACGCCGCGUGAGUGAUGAAGGCUUUCGGGUCGUAAAACUCUGUUGUUAGGGAAGAACAAGUACAAGAGUAACUGCUUGUACCUUGACGGUACCUAACCAGAAAGCCACGGCUAACUACGUGCCAGCCGCCGCGGUAA